GGCCAGUUGGCUCAGUCGGGUAGAGCAUGGUGCUGGUAACACCGAGGUUGUGGUUUCGAUCCCUGUUCGGUCCC
This 74-nucleotide transfer RNA is filed under the name Apaloderma vittatum (bar-tailed trogon). It matches the Rfam family "tRNA". From Rfam's summary of the family: Transfer RNA (tRNA) molecules are approximately 80 nucleotides in length. Lineage: Eukaryota; Metazoa; Chordata; Aves; Trogoniformes; Trogonidae. The record is from Rfam by way of RNAcentral.